CACGUAGGGUGCAAGCGUUAAUCGGAAUUACUGGGCGUAAAGCGUGCGCAGGCGGUUUUGUAAGUCUGACGUGAAAUCCCCGGGCUUAACCUGGGAACUGCAUUUGUGACUGCAUCGCUGGAGUGCGGCAGAGGGGGAUGGAAUUCCGCGUGUAGCAGUGAAAUGCGUAGAUAUGCGGAGGAACACCGAUGGCGAAGGCAAUCCCCUGGGCCUGCACUGACGCUCAUGCACGAAAGCGUGGGGAGCAAACAGG
Molecule: ribosomal RNA, 253 nt
Filed under: uncultured bacterium
Lineage: Bacteria
Description: partial 16S ribosomal RNA
Rfam family: Bacterial small subunit ribosomal RNA
Source: RNAcentral